GGGGAAUAUUGCACAAUGGGCGAAAGCCUGAUGCAGCAACGCCGCGUGAGUGAUGAAGGUCUUCGGAUUGUAAAGCUCUGUCUUUUGGGACGAUAAUGACGGUACCAAAGGAGGAAGCCACGGCUAACUACGUGCCAGCAGCCGCGGUAAUACGUAGGUGGCGAGCGUUGUCCGGAUUUACUGGGCGUAAAGGGUGCGUAGGCGGAUGUUUAAGUGGGAUGUGAAAUACCCGGGCUUAACUUGGGUGCUGCAUUUCAAACUGGAUAUCUAGAGUGCAGGAGAGGAGAAUGGAAUUCCUAGUGUAGCGGUGAAAUGCGUAGAGAUUAGGAAGAACACCAGUGGCGAAGGCGAUUCUCUGGACUGUAACUGACGCUGAGGCACGAAAAGCGUGGGUAGCAAACAGGAUUAGAUACCCUGGUAGUCCACGCCGUAAACGAUGAGUACUAGGUGUAGGAGGUAUCGACCCCUUCUGUGCCGCAGUAAACACAUUAAGUACUCCGCCUGGGAAGUACGAUCGCAAGAUUAAA
RNAcentral lists this ribosomal RNA (527 nucleotides) under uncultured bacterium. RNAcentral's name for it is "partial 16S ribosomal RNA". It matches the Rfam family "Bacterial small subunit ribosomal RNA", at positions 356 to 898 of the family's 1533-position model. The record is from RNAcentral.